CGUCUUCGCCUCCGAAAUCAAAGAUGGCGCCACUUCCGCCCGUCAAAAACCGCAGGAGUUCGUACCGACACGUCUCGACUCUCGGCGGCCGAAAACAAAAAUCUCUCUUCGCCGGACGUUUUCCCGUCGAAAAUUCUUCAACGGCUUUUUUGUCUUUUCUCGAAAAGUGAUUGUAACCGACCUUCGUUGCAAAUGGGGAGAAGGUGAUGUAUACGCGAGGACGUCGUAAAAGAAGCCGUUUAUCGACGAAAGAGGCGCACGCCUUCAAUUUAUGACAUGUCCAGCCCCGUUUUAUUCAGAUAUAAAAUAAUUAGUGUUUCAAGAAUUGAUUGGGAAAUGAGAAAGUCAUGGUAAUGAAAGUUUGAUUAAAUUCAGUUAUAUUUUUUAUCUUAAAAAUAAAAGUCAAAGAUAUGCAAUUGCUAUGAAAAGAGGAAGUAUAAGAUCUAACGAGAUGCACAUCAGAUAUAUUUGAAGAUUGACAAGAUGGCUAUUGUUCGUUAUUGAAAACAUACUCUGACUCAGUAAAAGCUAAGAAAAAAAUACAUUAGUCAAAGUUUUGACAGUCCAGAUCAAGAUGUUUUCAUAGUGGAUUUAUAUCAGAACUAAUCUUUUGAAGGUUCAAAUGGCUUGGCUUGACAUAAAAAACAGAUGUUACAGAGGCGCUGGGAACGGCCGUUCUCGUCGCAACAUUGAUACUGCUUACCCAACUUGAAAAACUCUCCAUAGAAGAAUCCUGAUAUUCUUUCAAGCGCCUCGCGGAGCCACGGUCUUCGAUUACAAUUCGCUCGCUCGCGGGUUCGAAGGGAUCUCCGAGUCAGUGAGGCGCGCAGAAAGAAUCUCAGGAUGCCCCAGCAGCACCACGCCUCAGCGCAACAAACCAGACAAGCCGAUCUGUACCGACUUACAUCCAGCUGGACUGUGUAGAGACCUCUAUUUAGAAAGUAAAGAGAUUUUUUGUGAGAAUUUUGUAUGUACCUCGACAAUAGGUUACGUAUCUUCGAUUCAUGAAUUGUAAAGAAAGAUAACCUGCACGUUUCAAUACAGUUUGGGUAAAAUGCACUUUUACGCACGCUCCGUGUGCGUUCAAUCAUACUUCCCGCCUCCUGGAUCAAAAAAUAACCUAUGAUACACAUGCGAAAAGUUGAUUGUGCACUCGCUUCGCUCGGCCGACAAACCUCCCACUCGGGAAGAAUCAACUUUUGCGCACGUGUAUCGAAAUAUACUAUAUUCGAUACUAUAUUCACCUUUUCCGUCUUGGCAGUUUCUUGUUAAUCAACCAUAAAGAAAGUAACGCAUAGUGAUCAGUUGUAUUUCACGCCUCCUCCUCGUGAUUAACAUGUAUAAAGAAAUAUUUAUAUUUGAGGUUAUGUUGGGUCAGGGACUCAUGCUCCCUUUACAAUUAUAAUUAUGAGGCAUGUGAUAAGUCAUGCAAAUGAAGUUGAUUCCAAGCCACUAUUCAAAAUUUUCGGAACGCAUGGAAAUUUAUUCUCUAUCAAACAUCAUCACGCCGAUGCAAAAAAAAAUGACAAAAAAACCAAUCGCAGCUAUAGCACUUAACGAAUCAAGAGAACAACAUGUCAUGAUGUAAUGACAAAGCGCAGUGGUGAAUUCUUCUCAGAAACUCGCCAGAUCCAGCUCCGAUUGGACUCUUUGAAAUGGUUUCGCCGAUAAUUAAUGACCUUCGCAAUUAAGCCAGAGAGCGCGCAAAUGAGUGCAACUAUAAACACGUCUGGAUUAGUAAGAAUACGGUGCUUGUUCGUAAAACCGAUAAUUUGAAAGUUAUUCCGAUUGUCACCAAAUCAGACCUCGACAAAAUGAUUUGACGCCACGAUGAGCCAAAUAUUCUGAGAGAAAAUCCGAAAAUUCUUUCUUAGGAGUUGCUCAUAUAAAUGUCAACUCGCUCCGCGACCAUUUGGAUAAAAUAAAUGAUUUCCUAGUAAGCAAAAGUGUUGACAUUCUUUCAAUAUCUGAAACCUGGCUCACUCCUGACCAUGCAGAUGCCUCAGUCCAUCUCUCUAAUUACCAGCUUAUUCGCAACGAUCGCGGCGUUCUUAGUAAGAAACAAAGCAAACGCACAUAUGUACAGGGUGGUGGCGUAGCAUGUUAUGUACGAAAUGGCAUUAAUUUCAAGGUCCUCCAGAGGUCAAAAAUUACUAGUAUUGACCAGACAGAGUACUUGAUCAUCGAAUUAGUAGUGGAGAACGAUGAGCGCUUUCUUUUUUCCACGGUCUAUAGGAGACCAUAGGCUCAUGUCUUGUCGGAGUUCUUCAUCGCACUGAUGCGAUUUAUGCCGUUGUACACUAAUUUAAUAAUUCCAGGAGACUUAAAUGCAAAUCUUAUCGACCCGAAUAACUAUUAUGGCACACAUCUUACAGCCCUCAUUGAAGAACACUCGCUUUAUUUUGUCCCCAGCGGAGCUUUACAUCAUAUUAAUCUCUCAGAUACAUGGCUCGAUCUUAUCUUAGUAAAUAACAAAGAUUUAGUCGUUAACUUCGAAAAAUCAACAGCGCCCUUCAUUUGUGGGCAUGACUACCUCAUAGUGGAUUUUCUCUUGCGCAACGUAAAGCCGAUAACAGAGUUAAUUUUGGCGAGUCUUCGUACAAUGACGGAUUACUGGUGCGAUUUCAGUUAAAAUGGCUGAGUUUUUUUUUCAGUGAAGAGCCCACGUGCGCGCCAGGCUCGGAGUUUUUAUGAGUUGGACUAUAGGGCCUCUUUGUAUUUUAGAAAAGAAACUUGAAUCCUUCGAUUUUUCCGAGGUUGAAAUGUUUUUCCACUAGACGGGAGGCGUAAUAGAAUCGAGAGUAAAAUUUUGUAAAUGUAUUUUGAAUGUAAAGUUUUAAAUGAAGAUAGUAAUUGUUAUACUCAGAUUAUGAAAUUUGUUUAUGCAAUUAAAUGUAGAAGUAUAUGAAAAAUCGGUUCGCGACAGAAUAUCUUAUGUAAAUAUGUUCUAAGUAGUUUGAAUUUUGUUAAGAGAUAAAGGUAACUUUGUAUAUUUUAUUAAUUUAGAGUUAUAAAUAUAAGCGUAAAUUUUUCGUGGCAGUUAUUCGAGUUAUAAGCAGAAUUCGGAAGUAUUUGAAAUUAUUGUAUUAAGGUGUCAAGUUUUGUUGAGAUUUGCGUAAUGCGCGCGGUUAUCGUUUAUUUUUGGAAUAGAGAAUGCAAAGAAAGACUUCAAAUAUUUUUGGCAUGGAAAUUCAAUGCGUUGUUUUUAUUUCAUAUCUAUUGAGAGUUAAAAUUGCAAAUAUACUGCCUAUUGAAUUUUUCUAGGACGAAUUUGUAGCGGCUAUUUUUCACGGAGUCACUAAUAUUCGAACCUGAUGUCUGCGAGAACGAUGAGGUUACUGGGUACAACAGUUACAGCAUCGCUGUUUGAAGAAAAGUGCAUUACUUAGCACUGCUAGGAACGAUCAUCAUCACAACCCGGAGCGGAAAGCAAGCAGCAGAGAAGCGGCUCAUCCAGAGCGGCGAUUUGAAAUGAUAAGAAUGUAUAUGCGAAGAUUUCUAUUUACGCAGUUAUGCUUUCGUAUUCGCAUUUGAAUCGGUUUUGUUAAGAAUUCUUAGAUAAUAAUUUAAUAUAGAUACGCACAGUUUAUUGUGCGAAGUAGGAUUUCGAGACGGAAAACGAAAAUAUUUGUUGAUUGAUCGCAGUAGGCUUUUGAGGCGCUGCGACGAAAAUAAUAGAAAUUUGAAUGCGAAAACUUUUUACGAAGUAGGCUUUUGAGGCGCUGCGAUAUAGUUGAACUGAAUAUAAUUUGAUUUCUUUAGCACGUUUAAAAUUGAUUUUGAAUGAUUUAGUAAGAUAAAAGAAAAUGAUGUGGUUUUAAGGAAAUAAAUGUUUAUAAUUUCACACGACUCUAAAUUGCUUUAAUUCUGACAGUUGCUUCGCUGAUUGGCUAGGGCCCAGGCAAAUUGGCGUGGCCUCUGUGCUGAGUUGGGUAAUUUUUUGUUUUGUAAAUUGUGGACAUUAAGAAAUUUUCGUGAUAGUCAUCGUGAAUUCUGUGAGCAAUAGGUCAGGCCGCGCAAACACUCACAGGGAUGAGCUGCAUGAGAGUAACUAAUAUGUGAUAUUGGCACUAGGGAUAUGAAAUCUGUGUACCGGUGACGUUUUUGAUGUGCGAAGAAGCUCUUGCAGUGCGUGGAAUUUGGCAGUGCGAUUCCACGGCUGUAGCGCCUCUUGGGUUCAGGACGAUUUGAAGUCGUCCUGAGACUGUUGUAGUACCUUGGUUAAGAGUCGCUCUGCGCUAAGGUAGUUCGAAUGUCGAGGCCGAUGAGUCUGAGCAGGGGGAGCGUCAUUGAGGUACUCUAAUUUGGUAACGCGUAGAAGCGUAGAAUUUUAUUAAAUUAUCGCAGUUUUAUAUCGUGAUUGAUAGAGAUGAACUGACAAAUAAGGAAAAUGCUAGAUGUUAUUUGAAUGCGAAUGCGAAAAGCGUGGCUAUUUUGAUUAGGCAGAAAGUGUUCGAUGAACGAUACACAUAAUGUAAUUUGGAUCACGAAAGUCCGAACUGAUAGUGGCGAGUGUAGCAGACCUGCGCAUAAGUUAAUUAGAUUGUUAAAAGUAAGCGAUUACGAAGUAUGAAUAUUUGGGACGUAUGUGUGGGCGUAUGCAUGUAUGUGUGUUCUUUAUAUUUUAUUUUGUACGUGUGUUCGAUGCCAUUUCCCUUCUUCAAGUUUACAUGGUUUUCCUGGAGGCAAUGGGCGAAUGCCAGGGAUUAUGUACUUUUGAAUCCGCGCUAGUGUUCAAUUGUACUGGCAGCACAUAUUUGAUUUUAGUAUGCAGUAUGAUGUAUGGUACAAAAUUACGGAGAUUUUGUACGAGGGGGAGAAUUGUUCCGGACGUAACCGAGGGCUACUAGGGAUAAUAGCAAGUGCACCGUAUUUAUUCUUUAUUAAUAAUAUAUUCUACCUAUUAAAAGUCUCUCAGUGUAGUCCUCGGGAAAGCAUCUUUGUUUUAGCGGGCCCGACUUUUCGGCGGCGUUUAAUGAGUAGAGCGUCAGUUCUCGGCGACAACUUAUGAGAGGUCACACCAGGACCUGAUCGUUAGGAGAUUUCAAUAAAGUCAUAAUAUCUGAUCAACAA
This is a long non-coding RNA of Nasonia vitripennis (jewel wasp), 5073 nucleotides long. RefSeq lists it as uncharacterized. NCBI's taxonomy places the organism in Eukaryota, Metazoa, Arthropoda, Insecta, Hymenoptera, Pteromalidae. The transcript has 7 exons. The record is from RefSeq and is a predicted model, not a curated record.